RNAcentral lists this long non-coding RNA (807 nucleotides) under Elaeis guineensis (African oil palm). Its description in RNAcentral is "long non-coding RNA (EGUI_LNC022931)". The record is from RNAcentral. Lineage: Eukaryota; Viridiplantae; Streptophyta; Magnoliopsida; Arecales; Arecaceae.
CAGCUAGUGGGCCCCAUGGUGGUGUUUGUGAGUAGGGGCACUCUCUCCAGCAUCUUGAACCCCGAGAAAAUGAAUCUCAAGCGGGCCAAACCAUGUUAAAUAGCUAGGGGAGAGGGGUUUAAGCGAACUGGCUCCAUUUUGUUUUUAAAGCUCGAACAUGCUGUUUUCUGACCGGUCUGGUCGAUAUAUGCCUGGAACCGGCCUGUUUGGUACGGUUUGGCAAACCAUGGGGGGAAGCUUUGAUUGGGAUGUCUAGGGCAUGAGCGAUCAAACCUGCAGCUUGUCAUGUGAUCUAUUUGUCCGUAGGUCAAGUUGCUCAACUUAGGCCUGAUCUGCAGCCCUUUGGCAACUUGAAUCGCAACAUGUAGUUUAACUAUAGGCCUCCAAGUCCAAACACUUGUAGUGAUGCUCACCUGCAGGUGGAGCUGCAUCCUACAGAGCUCAAAUACAUCCUAAAUGAAUGUUCUGUGUACUACACUCCAAGGAGAAGAUCUGUGAUAUGAUGCAUGGUAGAACUAGAGCUGAGACCUAAAAGUUACUAAACUAUUUGUCCUGCCAUGAAGUAUUUAAUUAAAACUCUGAAGUUCAAGAAGAUUCCAAGCAUACAUGCUGUCCGGUCUUUUAAUUCUUUCCUCUGAACACCAAGUAAGCCUGUCCAUAGCCAAACAUGUGUAGCUGUGGUCUAGCCAAAUCAUGAAUUUCCCUUGCUGCUCUUGGUUGCACCAGAGGGCUGUUGAAAUGGAAUGGAAAAGCAGGAAGCAAAGGUUUAAUAUUUCUUUCAGUUUUACUGACUACUUGUUUGAGGCA